This 553-nucleotide long non-coding RNA is filed under the name Ananas comosus (pineapple). Its description in RNAcentral is "long non-coding RNA (ACOM_LNC015933)". The record is from RNAcentral. Lineage: Eukaryota; Viridiplantae; Streptophyta; Magnoliopsida; Poales; Bromeliaceae.
GAAAGAUUAAAUAAAUAAUAAAAAAAGGGUAGUUGCUUAUGUACCUCUGGAAGACUUUCUGAUUUAUUUUUCUUACCAGAUUUAUAUUAAAAAUAUUUUUUUAUAUUUUAAUAUAUUUUAAAUAUAUUUUUAGAGUUAAAUUCUGAUAAUGAACUAUUAGCAAUAGCUAUUAUUUUUAUAAAAUUAUUAUUUUAUCCUUUCAAAUAUGUCUUUUCAUCAUCACCGAAUUUUCUUAUUUAUUUGUCCUUAAGUUAGGGGCACAAAAAGUGUUUUGAUUUUUGGUCUUUUCAAAUACGUCCUUCCACCAUCACCAAUAUUUUUUAUUUGUAAAUAAACAUUUUGAUAUUUUUAAAAUCCUAAUAGAUAUUUAACUUAUAUUUAACCCAAGUUAACUUAAUAUGUGAUAACUGUAGGGAUAUUCUGAAAUAAUAGAGAAACAUAUAAGAGAUAGAUUAGAAAGAAAAAAAAAUAAAUAAAUAAAAUAUUUCUAAAGUUUUAAGAGUAUAUAGACAAUUAUUCCUACGAAACAAGAGUUGUUAGCCACAUAUGUAGG